CUUCUUCAAGGUAGUAGCGAACAUGUGGCACUUGGCUGCAUCAGAGUGGCCAUAAUACGUCAUCAACCUGUCAUACCCAUCAGAAUGAUCGUAGGGAUCCCCUAGCCCGUCAUAAGUCUCCAUCGGGGGCAUCUUCCUUUUGUGGUCCGCUAUCUCCUGAUUAAUUUCCGGCGAGAAGGGCGACCCUAUAUAGGUCGAGGGCGUUCCGAUCGGGCU
This 216-nucleotide long non-coding RNA is filed under the name Panax ginseng (ginseng). RNAcentral describes it as "long non-coding RNA (PGIN_LNC012056)". Lineage: Eukaryota; Viridiplantae; Streptophyta; Magnoliopsida; Apiales; Araliaceae. The record is from RNAcentral.